RNAcentral lists this small nucleolar RNA (153 nucleotides) under Cavia porcellus (domestic guinea pig). The record is from RNAcentral. Lineage: Eukaryota; Metazoa; Chordata; Mammalia; Rodentia; Caviidae.
GUGGUCCUGAAUCAAGGCCAGUAGUGUGCUGUAGCUGCUGGUUUCAAACAGGAGAAAAGUCUUUCUAGGAGCAAAAGAGAAGUCUUUCUAGGGGCUGUUGACCAUUUCAGAACUUUGGAAAUGCAACAGUCCAUUCUUUACAAAGAAAUAGCU